AGGACGAACGCUGGCGGCGUGCUUAACACAUGCAAGUCGAGCGAGGCUCCUCCUUCGGGAGGAUGUCCUAGCGGCGAACGGGUGAGUAACACGUGGGCAACCUGCCCUCAGCUCUGGGAUAACUCCGGGAAACCGGGGCUAAUACCGGAUACGACCUCCACGGGCAUCUGUGGAGGUGGAAAGUUUUUCGGCUGAGGAUGGGCCCGCGGCCUAUCAGCUAGUUGGUGGGGUGAUAGCCCACCAAGGCGACGACGGGUAGCC
Molecule: ribosomal RNA, 261 nt
Filed under: uncultured bacterium
Lineage: Bacteria
Description: partial small subunit ribosomal RNA
Rfam family: Bacterial small subunit ribosomal RNA
Source: RNAcentral